Molecule: long non-coding RNA, 423 nt
Filed under: Salmo salar (Atlantic salmon)
Lineage: Eukaryota; Metazoa; Chordata; Actinopteri; Salmoniformes; Salmonidae
Description: lncRNA (ENSSSAG00000084020.1)
Source: RNAcentral
GCAUGUCUUGCUGCGGAAGCAGAGGCCGGGAGUGGAAUUCUUUGGGGGAGGAGUGUAAUUCCUGAGCUUUAGACUCAUACAGACCAUUCUCUCGACACGGACUUACAUGUUAGUCAUUUAGCAGCUGCUCUUAUCCAGAGUGACUUAAGUGUGUUCAGCUAAGCCUGUCAGUCAGCAGCAGCUGUAGGGUCUGUCAAGGUGUCCGCUGACGGCCCUGUGUCUGAGGCAGCCGCAGCCUCUGCAUCAAAAAGACAGUGUGUGUGCCAAAGAGAAAGAGAGAGCCAGGCUGCCUGCUUAUCAGAGGAUCUCUGGGCAGAAAGAAACGAUGAUAUUAGACUGGCUGCACAAGGAGAGGGUGCUCCUGUCCCGCUGACGAGUGGCAAGGGGAGGUUGUGUGUGCGUGUGUGUGUGUGUGUGUGUGUG